GGAGAGAUGCCCGAGAGGCCGAAGGGGCACGAUUGGAAAUCGUGUGUCCCGAAAGGGACCGUGGGUUCGAAUCCCACUCUCUCCGCCA
Molecule: transfer RNA, 88 nt
Filed under: Deltaproteobacteria bacterium
Lineage: Bacteria; Pseudomonadati; Myxococcota; Myxococcia
Also listed under: 1 other name
Description: tRNA-Ser
Rfam family: tRNA
About the family: Transfer RNA (tRNA) molecules are approximately 80 nucleotides in length. Their secondary structure includes four short double-helical elements and three loops (D, anti-codon, and T loops).
Source: RNAcentral